GGCGUCCCGAGGAGCCCAGGACGCGUCAGCAGGUGGCGGAGGUGCCAGGCCGUGGGCACGAGUGUGAAGGGCAACGGGGACAGGGCGGGGAGGCGCCGCCAGCUCCGACCCCCGCCCCGGCUGCCGGUUCCCUGGGGGUGAGAGAGGACUUUGUGCCCAGCGAGGCGCGCGGGCCCUGCCAGCGCACUGGGAGGUCGCGGCCCCGCAGCCAGUGGCGAGGCUGAGGGGACAGCGCGCAGAGCCGCUCCGGGUGCGCAGCGCCCGGCGCCCCUUGCCGCGGGAACGAAACUUGUGCAAUGUCCGCCCAGCGCCGCGGCGGCGGGCUCCCGGGGUGACCUCGUAAGUGAGCGGGCGCGGCUUCCACCCAGGUCACCGCGCCGCGCAGGGGCUGCAGACCCUGGCCUUGGGGCCAUUUCGCAAGCUUCUUGGAAAGUCACUCCUGUCGGUUAGCUGGGACUGCUGUGAACUCUGCCCCACCCCCUGGACACCCACGCUCGAUCGGGCCUGCCCAACUCUACCUGCGCACGCCGGCCAGCAAAUGCCAGUCUGUGCGCCUUCCAGAGCCGGGCUGAACACAGACCCUGGUAGCUCCCCGGUGGACCCAAGCUGUGUUGGUUACCCAGCAGCAGUGCCACCAAGUGGUGGGAGAGACCUGGCAAGAAUUAUGGAUGCCUGCAAAGGACAUACGGGCUUCAAUCUCCCAGGGCCCUUGAAGGGGUGUUCGUGGAGGGCAGGCACUUGAGGCAGCAGUCAAAUCGCCGCUCAGGACGCCCGCCUCCCCGUCAGAGCGCCUGGGCUCCAGGGCCCACUCAGGACACCCGCCUCCCUGUCAGAGCGCCUGGACCCGAGUGCCCACUCAGGACGCCCACCUCCCCGUCAGAGCGCCUGGACCCGAGUGCCCACUCAGGACGCCCGCCUCCCCGUCAGAGCGCCUGGGCUCCAGGGCCCGCUCAGGACACCCGCCUCCCCGUCAGAUUGAGUCCGCUCAGGACACCCGCUUCCAGACAGAGCACCUGGACCCGCCGUGUUCAUUCAAGAUGCCCGCCUCCCAGUCAGAUCGCCUGGUCUCCA
Molecule: long non-coding RNA, 1071 nt
Filed under: Oryctolagus cuniculus (rabbit)
Lineage: Eukaryota; Metazoa; Chordata; Mammalia; Lagomorpha; Leporidae
Description: lncRNA (ENSOCUG00000033656.1)
Source: RNAcentral